UACAUUUCAACUUACUAUAGUCGGCGCGGCGAACCUUGAUCCCUAUGACACUGACAGCUAAUGUCACCAUAUAACAUUGUAGUGGCGUCACCAUUAAAUUGGGAUCAUAUUGGGGGCGUCUAAAAAUGCCAUUUAUAAAUUUUACGUAGCUUUAUACCAUUAGAAAUGAUAUUCCGUUGAUAUUUUUAACAAUUCUUAACAUUUACAAGAAGUUAUCUCAAUUUGAAUUUAUGUUUACGUCCUGCAAAACUUACGUCGUGUGACCAUUAUCGACUAGGGCGGCAAGUAUCGAUAUCGGCAAGAGCGAUCGCGCGCGUCGCGUCGUAGUAACCGACCAAAUAGUGUGGCUAUAUCUAAAAAUAUGCUAUAAUAUUAUUAUAGCCUAUUGUAGGUUAUAGUAACAAAAUUUUUUCAGACAAAAUAAAUAAAUUGGGAACAUUCAUUUUCAUGAUAAAAUAUAUACUUAUAUAGCAAAAACGUGUUUACCGGGUUAAACAUUAUUAGAAAAUAACAAGGUUGGAAACUUUCGUUUUACUUACCUACUUAA
Molecule: long non-coding RNA, 547 nt
Organism: Maniola jurtina (meadow brown)
Lineage: Eukaryota; Metazoa; Arthropoda; Insecta; Lepidoptera; Nymphalidae
Exons: 2
Source: RefSeq, a predicted model, not a curated record